CACCGCGGUUAAACGAGAGGCCCUAGUUGAUAUUAAACGGCGUAAAGGGUGGUUAGGAAAAAAAAUAAUAAAGCCAAAUGGCCCCUCGGCUGUUAUACGCUUCUAGGCGUCCGAAGCCCUAUUUUACGAAAGUAGCUUUAACAAUAUACCCGACCCCACGAAAGCUAAGAAA
RNAcentral lists this ribosomal RNA (172 nucleotides) under Puntius terio (onespot barb). RNAcentral's name for it is "partial 12S rRNA". The record is from RNAcentral. Lineage: Eukaryota; Metazoa; Chordata; Actinopteri; Cypriniformes; Cyprinidae.